CGAGUCCGUCCGGGUCGCCGCGGCGGAAGCGGCGGCGCUUCCCGGCAGCUCUUCCCGGCAGCUCUUCCCGGCAGCGCCAGCCCUUCCGGCGGCGGCGGGGGUAUGGAUAACAGAAAGGAGGAAAGAAGUAGGUCGCUGUGUGCAACAUCACAAGAAGAGCUGAAAGUCCAAGGAAAAGAAAAAAGAAAACGAAAACGUAGCAGAAGCAGAUCAUCAUCAAUUUCAUCCACAUCAUCUUCUAGUACUGCCACUACAUCCGCUUCUUCCUCCUCAUCACGCUCGUCAUCAAGGUCUUCUUCCAGUAGCAGAGAUUCUCGUAAAUCUAAAUCGAAGAAAAAGAAAAAAGAAAAACACAACAAAAAGUUGGAAUAUAUAUCUUAUACUCAUAGAAGAGGAAAAAAGAGAACAAAGUGA
This 414-nucleotide long non-coding RNA is filed under the name Dromaius novaehollandiae (emu). RNAcentral's name for it is "lncRNA (ENSDNVG00000018917.1)". Lineage: Eukaryota; Metazoa; Chordata; Aves; Casuariiformes; Dromaiidae. The record is from RNAcentral.